Molecule: ribosomal RNA, 515 nt
Filed under: Aphelenchus avenae
Lineage: Eukaryota; Metazoa; Nematoda; Chromadorea; Rhabditida; Aphelenchidae
Description: eukaryotic LSU rRNA
Rfam family: Eukaryotic large subunit ribosomal RNA
Source: RNAcentral
UGAAACACGGACCAAGGAGUCUACCGUAUAUGCGAGUCAUUGAGUUCUAAACUCAAUGGCGUAAUGAAAGUAAAGAUUCCGUAAGGUUUUGAUAUGCGAUCUCGGUUGCCUCGGUAGCUGAGAGCAGCAUAGCCCCGUCUUGACCGCUUGCGGUAGGGCGGAGGUAGAGCGCAUGCUAUGUGACCCGAAAGAUGGUGAACUAUGCUUGAACAGGAUGAAGCCAGAGGAAACUCUGGUGGAAGUCCGAAGCGAUUCUGACGUGCAAAUCGAUCGUCUGAUUUGAGUAUAGGGGCGAAAGACUAAUCGAACCAUCUAGUAGCUGGUUCCCUCUGAAGUUUCCCCCAGGAUAGCUGGAGCCUUUGAUAUAGUUAUACUCGGUAAAGCGAACGAUUAGAGGACUUGGGGUUGAAAUGACCUUAACCUAUUCUCAAACUCUCAAUGGGUAUGUCGUCUUUGUUGCAUGCUAGAACAUUGACAUUGAAUAUAGGCUCCAAGUGGGCCAUUUUUGGUAAGCA